RNAcentral lists this ribosomal RNA (650 nucleotides) under uncultured bacterium. Its description in RNAcentral is "bacterial SSU rRNA". It matches the Rfam family "Bacterial small subunit ribosomal RNA", at positions 50 to 746 of the family's 1533-position model. The record is from RNAcentral.
AACACAUGCAAGUCGAACGCAGUAGCAAUACUGAGUGGCAAACGGGUGAGUAUAAUGUGGGAAUCUGCCUUUUGGUUUGGAAUAACACGGGGAAACUUGUGCUAAUACCGAAUAAGCCCUUACGGGGAAAGUUUUAAUGCCGAAAGAUGAGCCCGCACUUGAUUAGCUAGUUGGUAAGGUAAAAGCUUACCAAGGCAACGAUCAAUAGCUGUUCUUAGAGGAAGACCAGCCACAUUGGGACUGAGACACGGCCCAAACUCCUACGGGAGGCAGCAGUGGGGAAUCUUGCACAAUGGAGGAAACUCUGAUGCAGCGAUGCCGCGUGAGUGAAGAAGGCCCUUGGGUUGUAAAGCUCUUUCGUCGGGGAAGAAAAUGACUGUACCCGAAUAAGAAGGUCCGGCUAACUUCGUGCCAGCAGCCGCGGUAAUACGAAGGGACCUAGCGUAGGUCGGAUUUACUGGGCUUAAAGAGUUCGUAGGUGGUUGAAAAAGCUGGUGGUGAAAUCCCAGAGCUUAACUCUGGAACUGCCAUCAAAACUUUUCAGCUAGAGUAUGAUAGAGGAAAGCAGAAUUUCUAGUGUAGAGGUGAAAUUCGUAGAUAUUAGAAAGAAUACCAACUGCGAAGGCAGCUUUCUGGAUCAUUACUGACAC